CCCUGUAGAGCUUCCUUUGGUCUAGUCUUGUAUAGUUCCUGCGGGGGUGUAGACUAGGUGGGAGAGCAAUCGAUUCUGAAAAACCACUACCCUGUUUGGAAUUAUGCUUACCUAUCACAAGGAAUAGGACUAGAUAGAAAGUUUGGCUGGGGCGGCACACCUUCGAAAGAGCAGCGAAGGUGUCCUAAGUUGAGCUCAGUGAGGACAGAAAUCUCACGUUGAGGAUAAGGCCAAAAGCUCAAUUUACUGUGCCUUUUUGUACUAGGAUCAGUUACGAAAGUAAGGCCUAACGAUCCCUAAAUAGCCUCAGGUGCGUGAGGAUUGGGGUGACAGACAAGUUACCUCCGGGACAACUGGCUUGUGGCUGCUAAGAGAUCAAAUCAACGCAGCUUUUUGAUUCUUCGAUGUCGGCUCUUCCUAUCCUAGUGAUGUACAAGUUGCUAAGGGUCGGAUUGUUCACCCGUAUUAGGGAUCGUGAGCUGGGUUUAGACCGUCGUGAGCCAGGUUUGUUUUAUCCUACUGGAUAUAGCAUCAUGAUAGUAGAUUGAUUUAGUACGAGAGGAACUGUUGAUUAUGGCCUCUGGUUAGCGAUUAUCGGAAACGGUAUGUCGCGCAGCUACGCCGUCUGGGAUAAUGGCUGAAAGCCUCUUAAGCCAGAAGCCCAUCUAGAAAGUGAUGCACGUGAUGUUGGACCGAUACGAAUAAUCAUACUCAAAAGGUCCGCUUCAUAGGUAACCCAAUGUAGAAGACAUUGUGUGAACGAAGGUACUGUAAGCAGUGGAGUGGCAUUACGUCCACGACCUGUUGAGGUUCAGCUUCGCUUCUAGGUUUCC
RNAcentral lists this non-coding RNA (833 nucleotides) under Trichomonas vaginalis G3. RNAcentral's name for it is "Eukaryotic large subunit ribosomal RNA". It matches the Rfam family "Eukaryotic large subunit ribosomal RNA", at positions 2411 to 3401 of the family's 3401-position model. The record is from Rfam by way of RNAcentral. Lineage: Eukaryota; Parabasalia; Trichomonadida; Trichomonadidae.